This 505-nucleotide ribosomal RNA is filed under the name uncultured bacterium. RNAcentral describes it as "partial 16S ribosomal RNA". It matches the Rfam family "Bacterial small subunit ribosomal RNA", at positions 28 to 507 of the family's 1533-position model. The record is from RNAcentral.
GACGAACGCUGGCGGCGUGCCUAAUACAUGCAAGUAGAACGCACAGUUUAUACCGUAGCUUGCUACACCAUAGACUGUGAGUUGCGAACGGGUGAGUAACGCGUAGGUAACCUGCCUGGUAGCGGGGGAUAACUAUUGGAAACGAUAGCUAAUACCGCAUAAUAUUAAUUAUUGCAUGAUAAUUAAUUGAAAGGUGCAAUUGCACCACUACCAGAUGGACCUGCGUUGUAUUAGCUAGUAGGUGAGGUAACGGCUCACCUAGGCGACGAUACAUAGCCGACCUGAGAGGGGGAUAGGCCAAACUGGGACUGAGACACGGCCCAGACUCCUACGGGAGGCAGCAGGAGGGAAGCUUCGGCAAGGGACGAAAGGCUGAACGAGCAACGCCGCGGGAGUGAAGAAGGUUGUCGGAUCGUAAAGCUCUGUUGUAAGAGAAGAACGGGUGUGAGAGUGGAAAGUUCACACUGUGACGGUAUCUUAACAGAAAGGGACGGCUAACUACGUG